AGCGGAGUGGAGCAGGCUUGGCAGCUCAUCGGGCUCAUAACCCGAAGGACGUUGGUUCAAUUCCAACCUCCGCAUC
Molecule: transfer RNA, 76 nt
Filed under: Candidatus Tremblayella phenacoccinincola
Lineage: Bacteria; Pseudomonadati; Pseudomonadota; Betaproteobacteria
Description: Candidatus Tremblaya phenacola tRNA-Met
Rfam family: tRNA
About the family: Transfer RNA (tRNA) molecules are approximately 80 nucleotides in length. Their secondary structure includes four short double-helical elements and three loops (D, anti-codon, and T loops).
Source: RNAcentral